AUCAUUAAGUGAAUACAUAGCUUAAUGAGGGGAACUCAGGGAACUGAAACAUCUAAGUACCUGAAGGAAGAGAAAGAAAUUCGAUUCCGUAAGUAGCGGCGAGCGAACGCGGAUUAGCCCAAACCAAUAAAGUUUUCUUUAUUGGGGUUGCGGACAUAUCAUAACGAAGAGGUAUCGUAAUUGAAGAGGUUUGGAAAGACCCACCACAGAAGGUAAUAGUCCUGUAUGUUAAACGAGAAGACUUUAGAUAUGAUCCAGAGUACCACGGGACACGUGAAACCCUGUGGGAAGCAGGAGGGACCACCCUCCAAGGCUAAAUACUACCUAGUGACCGAUAGCGUAUAGUACCGUGAGGGAAAGGUGAAAAGAACCCCGGGAGGGGAGUGAAAUAGAACCUGAAACCCUGCACUUACAAGCUGUGGAAGCACAUUUCUUGUGUGACCGCGUACUUUUUGUAGAACGGGCCAACGAGUUACGUUAAGUAGCAAGGUUAAGCACUUAAGGUGCGGAGCCGUAGCGAAAGCGAGUUUUAACUGAGCGUUCAGUUACUUGACGUAGACCCGAAACCGGGCGACCUACCCAUGAGCAGGAUGAAGCGAAAGUAAAAUUUCGUGGAGGUCCGAACCCACGAGCGUUGAAAAGCUCGGGGAUGACUUGUGGGUAGCGGUGAAAUUCCAAUCGAGCCCGGAGAUAGCUGGUUCUCCCCGAAAUAGCUUUAGGGCUAGCCUCAAGGUGAGAGAUACGGAGGUAGAGCACUGAAUGUCCUAGGGGGUAUUGCACCUACCGAAGACUAUCAAACUCCGAAUGCCGUCAUCUUAUACUUGGGAGUCAGACUGUGGGUGAUAAGAUUCAUAGUCGAAAGGGCAACAGCCCAGAUCGUCAGCUAAGGUCCCUAAAUGUAAGUUAAGUGGUAAAGGAUGUGGGAUUGCACAGACAACCAGGAUGUUGGCUUAGAAGCAGCCACUCAUUCAAAGAGUGCGUAAUAGCUCACUGGUCGAGUGAUCCUGCGCCGAAGAUUUCCGGGGCUAAAACUUACUACCGAAGCUACGGCAUCAGUAAUGAUGGGUAGGGGAGCUUCCCAUACGGGUUGAAGCAUGACCGUAAGGACAUGUGGACAGUAUGGGAGUGAGAAUGUUGGCAUGAGUAGCGAGAUGUGGGUGGGAAUCCCACAGGCCGUAAACCCAAGGUUUCCAGGGGAAGGUUCGUCCGCGCGGGGUUAGUCUGGACCUAAGCUGAGGCCGAAAGGCUUAGGUGAGGGACAACAGGUUGAUAUGCCUGUACUACCGAUAACCGUUUGAGAGAAGGGAUGACACAGUAGGAUAAGCUAAGCACACUGUUGGUUAUGUGUGCCCAAGCAUUGAGGCAGUCAAAGUAGGCAAAUCCGCUUUGAUAAUGCUGGGAUGUGAUGGGGAGCGAAAUUUAGUAGCGAAGUAGCUGAUUUCACACUGUCAAGAAAAGUCUCUAUCGAGGUUAAAGGUACCCGUACCGCAAACCGACACAGGUGGGUGAGGAGAGUAUCCUAAGGCCAGCGAGAGAACUGUUGUUAAGGAACUCGGCAAAAUGACCCCGUAACUUAGGGAUAAGGGGUGCCACCAUCAGGUGGCCGCAGAGAAUAGGCCCAAGCGACUGUUUACCAAAAACAUAGGUUUCUGCUAAGUCGCAAGACGAUGUAUAGGAGCUGACGCCUGCCCGGUGCUGGAAGGUUAAGGGGAUCUGUUAGAGCAAUCGAAGCAGUGAACUUAAGCCCCAGUAAACGGCGGCCGUAACUAUAACGGUCCUAAGGUAGCGAAAUUCCUUGUCGGGUAAGUUCCGACCCGCACGAAAGGCGUAACGAUUUGGGCACUGUCUCAACAACAGACUCGGUGAAAUUGUAAUUCCGGUGAAGAUGCCGGAUACCUGCGACAGGACGGAAAGACCCCAUGGAGCUUUACUGUAGCUUGACAUUGGGUCUUGGUACUACAUGUACAGGAUAGGUGGGAGGCUUUGAAACCAGGACGCCAGUUUUGGCGGAGCCAUCCUUGGGAUACCACCCUUGUAGUACUGGGACUCUAACCAUAGGCCAUGAAUCUGGUCUUGGGACACUGUCAGGUGGGCAGUUUGACUGGGGCGGUCGCCUCCCAAAAGGUAACGGAGGCGCUCAAAGGUUCUCUCAGUACGGUCGGAAAUCGUACGUAGAGUGUAAAGGCAAAAGAGAGCUUGAUUGCAAGACAUACAGGUCGAGCAAGGAUGAAAAUCGGACUUAGUGAUCCGGUGGUUCUGCGUGGAAGGGCCAUCGCUCAACGGAUAAAAGCUACCCUGGGGAUAACAGGCUUAUCUCCCCCAAGAGUCCACAUCGACGGGGAGGUUUGGCACCUCGAUGUCGGCUCAUCACAUCCUGGGGCUGUAGUAGGUCCCAAGGGUUGGGCUGUUCGCCCAUUAAAGUGGUACGCGAGCUGGGUUCAGAACGUCGUGAGACAGUUCGGUCCCUAUCCGUCGCAGGCGUAGGAAAUUUGAGAAGACCUGUCCUUAGUACGAGAGGACCGGGAUGGACGUACCUCUGGUGUACCAGUUGUCCUGCCAAGGGCAUGGCUGGGUAGCUAUGUACGGAAUGGAUAAGCGCUGAAAGCAUCUAAGCGCGAAGCCAACUUCAAGAUAAGAUUUCCCACCGCAAGGGUAAGACCCCAGAAAGACUAUCUGGUUGAUAGGUCGAAGGUGUAAGUGCAGCAAUGUAUUUAGCUUAUCGAUACUAAUAGGU
RNAcentral lists this ribosomal RNA (2734 nucleotides) under Escherichia coli. Its description in RNAcentral is "partial 23S ribosomal RNA". It matches the Rfam family "Bacterial large subunit ribosomal RNA". Lineage: Bacteria; Pseudomonadati; Pseudomonadota; Gammaproteobacteria; Enterobacterales; Enterobacteriaceae. The record is from RNAcentral.